AGUCAGACAAGCUAUCGCCUCCUUUCGUGGCAGCAGGUUUCCGCGCAGAAGGCGUCCGCUUCUCUCGAACAUUUCUUGCUCUGGAAUGACGACGAGACGGGCGCUGGAAUGUGGUUGGGGACCGUGGAGGCGCUUUGGGUUUUCGCGGAUCUCUUGUGAUUCUCGUGACUUCAAGUGCAUGCUGCGCCGUCCGUCAUCUCGUGACGUCUCGGUGCCCGGAACAGCUCUGACUGUUUGGUUUUCCGGGCACUUUGCGACGUAGGCGAGAGAAGUUCCAUUUUUCUCUUUACCGACGCCGCCGGCCGUCGUGCUGGACUCGGAUUGAUCGGCUAUCAUCGAGCCGCCGGCAAGCUGGAAGCUGCGGGACAGUGGGAGAAAUGAAGCUCAUGGCGGCGCCCAGUUACAACAAAGCAAGUGCGCGUUCGCUCGCAUAGCGCUGCUUGCUUUUGUUUCACAUA
Molecule: unclassified non-coding RNA, 458 nt
Filed under: Eobania vermiculata
Lineage: Eukaryota; Metazoa; Mollusca; Gastropoda; Stylommatophora; Helicidae
Also listed under: 1 other name
Description: internal transcriber spacer 2
Source: RNAcentral